Molecule: ribosomal RNA, 499 nt
Filed under: uncultured bacterium
Lineage: Bacteria
Description: bacterial SSU rRNA
Rfam family: Bacterial small subunit ribosomal RNA
Source: RNAcentral
GAUGAACGCUAGCGGCAGGCUUAAUACAUGCAAGUCGAGGGGCAGCACGGUUAGCAAUAACUGGUGGCGACCGGCGCACGGGUGCGUAACACGUAUACAAUCUACCUUAAACAGGGGGAUAGCCUUUCGAAAGAGAGAUUAAUACCCGUAAUAAAUUGAAACGGCAUCGUUUGAUUUUGAAAGCUCCGGCGGUUUGAGAUGAGUAUGCGUCUGAUUAGCUAGUUGGUGAGGUAACGGCUCACCAAGGCGACGAUCAGUAGGGGAUCUGAGAGGACUAACCCCCACACUGGUACUGAGACACGGACCAGACUCCUACGGGAGGCAGCAGUAAGGAUAUUGGUCAAUGGAGGCAACUCUGAACCAGCCAUGCCGCGUGCAGGAUGACGGCCCUAUGGGUUGUAAACUGCUUUUAUACAAGAGAAAACCCUGGUACGUGUACCAGGUUGAUAGUAUUGUAAGAAUAAGCAUCGGCUAACUUCGUGCCAGCAGCCGCGGUAAU